GAUGAAGAACGCAGCGAAAUGCGAUACUUGGUGUGAAUUGCAGAAUCCCGUGAACCAUCGAGUCUUUGAACGCAAGUUGCGCCCGAAGCCAUUAGGCCGAGGGCACGCCUGCCUGGGCGUCACACGUCGUUGCCCCCCCAUCUACUCCUUCGGGAUUGCGGGGGGCGGAUGAUGGCCUCCCGUGCGCCUCGCCGCGCGGUUGGCAUAAAUGCCAAGUCCUCGGCGACGCACGCCACGACAAUCGGUGGUUGCGAAACCUCGGUUGCCCGUCGUGUGCGGUCGCCGCGCAUCGAGGGCUCGAAAAAAUUGCCGGGUUCCGGCUCGGCUUUCAACGCGACCCCAGGUCAGGCGGGGUUACCCGCUGAAUUUAAGCAUAUCAAUAAGCGGAGGA
Molecule: unclassified non-coding RNA, 391 nt
Filed under: soil metagenome
Description: partial contains 5.8S ribosomal RNA, internal transcribed spacer 2, and large subunit ribosomal RNA
Rfam family: 5.8S ribosomal RNA (bases 1-122)
Source: RNAcentral